CCCUAUUUUCAAACAUCUCAUCAAUCUUUAAAAGGAUCUCCAUUGGAAAAUCCGACUACGGACCCGAACCAGUGGGCGGGAAAAUCCGGUGCUCAAACAAUCCAAGAACUUCGCCGGAAUCAAAUUCAGUUCUCGAGCUGAAUUGGGCAGAAAUUCAGUCAUUUGAUCCAUUUAGGGCUUUUAAGUUUCCUCAUAAUGCCUUCAUUUCCUCCUCCUGGGUCUGUUACCAUCUGCGAAAUCAAUCGCGACCUCAUUACUGCUGAUCGAAUCUCCGAUGAUCUAGCGAACGACACUUAUGGGAAAGUCCUUGGUAUGGUGUUUAGUCCUGUUCCAUUUCAGUCCGAUUUUUUGGUGUCGCCGAAUCCUGAACCGAACAAUGAGGCUAGAAACGAUGAAGCAAAUGGGGAAAGUAUCCAAAGGAAGAGUGUGAUUGCAUCUUUGCAGGGAUUCCUCGAGGACUCCAUCAAGCGUUUUUUACGUCCUAAUGAUGUAAAAUACUUACCAGCAGAAUAUCUUCAAGGAAUGAGUUGGCACCAGCACAAGCAUAUUUUAGCAUUCAUAUCUGGGACGAAUCAAGUUGUUGUCCGUGAUUUUGAAAAUGCAGAAGGAAAAGACCCUUGCAUUUUGACCCACGACUUGCAAAAGGAUGUUAAAGUUCUUGAGUGGAGACCAAAUGGCGGGAGGACCCUUUCGGUGGCAUGCAAAGAUGGAAUUUGCAUCUGGGCUGCUUCUUUCCCAGGAAAUGCUGCUUCGGUGAGACCUGGUGCCGUGUCCUUUUUAGGAUCAUUCUCAAGAGGCUCUGGGGUUCGAUAUACCCUAGUUGAUUUUCUUCGGACCCGUGAUGAACAGAUUAGUGCCCUGUCAUGGAGUCCUGAUGGAAGAUAUCUAGCAUCUGCAUCUUAUGAGAGCUCUUCUUUUACCAUUUGGGAUGUCUCUCAAGGGUUAGGAACACCCAUUAGGCGUGGAUUAGGGUGUGUAUCAACAAUCAAGUGGUCACCUUCUGGAGAUUACUUUUUUGCUGCAAAAUUGGAUGGAACAUUUUAUCUUUGGGAAACGAACACAUGGACAUCUGAACAGUGGUCGACAACAAGUGGUUUUGUCACGGGAGCAAUAUGGGAUCCUGAUGGACGUAUGAUACUACUUGCUUUCUCUGAGUCUUCAGUAUUGGGUUCAAUUCAUUUUGCAUCUAAGCCUCCGUCAUUAGUUGCACAUCUGCUAGCUGUUGACUUGCCAGAGAUAACUACUUUGACGAACAGUCAGGGUAUUGAGAAGAUAGCAUGGGAUGCUUCAGGAGAGCGACUGGCUGUCUCUUUCAAGGAUGGAGAUGAAUUAUAUAAUGGCCUGAUCGCAGUAUAUGAUAUUAAAAGGACUCCCCUGAUUUGUCCAUCAUUGAUUGGCUUUAUUAGAGGGCCUGGAGACAAUCCAAAGCCAGCUGCAUUUUCGUUCCAUGGCAAGUUCAAGCAGGGACCUUUGCUUUCAGUGUGUUGGAGCAGUGGAUUUUGCUGUACCUAUCCUCUCAUAUUCCGCUCUCAUGUUGUUCCUUAGUGGUGGUUCUCUUGGAGCCCUAGUCUUGGUAGGAGAUGCUGUAUGGUGCUAAAUUUCAAAGAGAAGAGGUUUUCUAAUUCUUCUGUACAGUCUGUUGCUGCAAAUCCUACGGUCAAAAUUGAUAUAGAAAUUACAGGGAAGAUUUGUAGGUCGGUGGAUUUACAUUUUACUAGAGCAUAGCAUCCAGCCAAGAUGGUCCUCACCAUGAAAGACCCUCUCCCUUGCAUGACUUUUUGUCCAACCCUUCAUUUAUUAUUAUGGCCAUCUCGUUCUACACUAGCUUGAACACAACUGGGAUUACCUCAACUUUCUCCAACAUUUUUCUCUC
RNA transcript from Cucurbita maxima (winter squash), 1873 nucleotides. It is a transcript of the gene named aladin, with no coding region annotated. The transcript is spliced from 15 exons. The record is from RefSeq and is a predicted model, not a curated record. NCBI's taxonomy places the organism in Eukaryota, Viridiplantae, Streptophyta, Magnoliopsida, Cucurbitales, Cucurbitaceae.